Molecule: non-coding RNA, 1787 nt
Organism: Cucurbita pepo subsp. pepo (vegetable marrow)
Lineage: Eukaryota; Viridiplantae; Streptophyta; Magnoliopsida; Cucurbitales; Cucurbitaceae
Source: RefSeq, a predicted model, not a curated record
UGUUUCGGGCAGAGAUCAAAAGCCAAAUGACUCUGCCUCUCGUUGCCUGGUACCACCGCUUUUGGUCUCCUCGCGCGAGGCAUCACAUACAAUCCAGUUCUUCUAUUCAGUUCGAUUGACUUACAUUUUUUCGGAAGGAAAUUUUGUCUCGGAAGCUAGUUCUCAGAUCUGGUUGGUUGGCUGUUAUCCCCGAGGAGAAGAGAACUGAAAAACGCGAGACUCCUAGCUCAACUAUUCCGGUGCCUGCGAAUUACUAGCAGACUGCUGGAUUCGUUUACUGUAGUUGAGCAGUGGAGAUAUGAGGUUUGCCAUUUCAUGAAAAAGCCUUUGAGGUGGAGAUUGCUCAAGGAUCCAAGAUUCAUGAUCUCAUGAUUGUUGUUUUGAAUUGUUCUUUCAGCAUGUGCCAGAUAAAUACCAGCUACAUGGCAGGUAUAGUGUUUCAACAGUGCAGUCUAUGGUAUUGGGAUGAAACGUUGGUUGAGAGUGACUAGGUCAAAAGACGGAUAGCAUGGCCAAUAGACAAGUGAGAGAUUUUAUCUAUGAUCUAUUGAUAUCUCACUCAGUGGUUUUCAUUUUAUUUGUAGAGGCACGCAUCAUGCUCUCGGUCUUUCAACUAAUGAUGCAAAUUUUAGGCAUCUACAUUCAUGGAGUGUCACGUUGAUCAAAGCAAAGGAUUCCUUGCACUUAUCGGUCAGCAUUUUCUCCACGAAUACAUGAAGAUUAAUAUCAUAAAAAACAACAUUUUAGAGGUAAGAGAAUUCAAACUUUUGAACUCUUAAUAUAUGUUUGGUAUGUGUCAUUUGAAUAAAUUUUUUUUAGUACAUAUUAUUUCUAUGAAAUAUCUUAAUAUAUGUUUGGUAUGUGUCAUUUGAAUAAAUUUUUUUUAGUACAUAUUAUUUCUAUGAAAUAUUUGUAGAGUAUGUUUUAAAUUUACAUAAUUAUGUUUCAUGAAUAUUCUCAAAACCAGAGAAAUAACUAAUUUAAUAAAUAAGGUCUAAUUAUGCACUCGAUGACGAAUUUUAUUUCUUAUCUUCGUUAUCAGCCCCUAGAACUCUAGUGUCAACCUUGAACUACUACGUUUUUUUCCCUUGGUUUAUAGUUUUGUUUUUCUUUCCGAAAAAUAGAACUGUUUAAUAAUCACUUGUUACAAUCUGAAAAGUGGUUCUGAAAUUAUAAAUUAAUUUUUAAAACAAUAUAAACAAGAUUUCAUAAAUAUACACUCUUCUUACAUGUUCUUCUAAAACUAUUUCAUAAAUAGACCCUAUCGAUUUUCUCCAAAAUUUCUCUCUUCAAUUUUUUCCUUCAAUAUAUACUUUUCUUACUUUUCUCACUAUAAUUUUCCCCCUUCUAGCUCUUCUUUCUUUGACAUAUAUUUUCCAUUUCUCUAUUAACUUUUAUUCUCCCCAACAUAUCACCGUAUCUAUCAUCUUCUCUUAACAUUUUUAUUAGAAGAAAAACUAGAUAUCCAUGCCGCUACAAAGGGAAGAGUUGAAACCCUUUUAUGACUGAUACUGCCUAUGAUUUUGGAAAGCUAUGUUGAAACUUCAAACGCAGUAGAGCGGGACAGCAAAUAUGGGGUUCUAUUUGCAGAAGAAAAUAGAAUAAAGGAAACAAAAGAGAAAAAUGACGGCAUGUUUAGUCGAAUCUUAUGAAUAUGGUCAUGUCUAUAGAAAUGUUUAAUUUUGAUACAUCAGUACAAAUAUGUUUUAAUUGUUUUAACUGUUUUAUUUGAAAAUUUGGGAUAUAAUUUAAGGCUACUGUUCAAAAUAUUUUAACUUCAUUUUUCA